This 69-nucleotide transfer RNA is filed under the name Marmota monax (woodchuck). It matches the Rfam family "tRNA". Rfam says of the family: Transfer RNA (tRNA) molecules are approximately 80 nucleotides in length. Their secondary structure includes four short double-helical elements and three loops (D, anti-codon, and T loops). Lineage: Eukaryota; Metazoa; Chordata; Mammalia; Rodentia; Sciuridae. The record is from Rfam by way of RNAcentral.
UUAGUGGUGGCUUAGUGGUAGAGGGCUUGCCUAGCAUGCAUGAGGACUGGGUUCAAUCCCCAGAUUAAA